GUAAGCCUAAAGCUGAAAAGAAGCCAUCUUACCACCGACAAGGGACAGAGGCUACCUGGAAAAGACGGAGGGUGAAGGGCUGACACGUGAUAACCCUGGCACCGUCAGUUCAGCAAGCUGGGGCGUCCUCACAGAGCAUUAUUCACAAGAGCCAAAAGGUGGAAAGACCCCAAGUGUCUAUCAAUGGAUGAAUGCACAAACAAAAUGUGGUGUCCACAUCCAAUGGAAUAGUCCUGAUCCUAAAAAGAAGGGAAUUCUGACACACGCUACAACAUAGACGAAUCUUGAUGUCACUGUGAGAAUCGGCAACUCUGUGAAAUCUGCAACACUGGCGUCAUGUUCUCUAAUUCUUAAUCGAGUUACCCACAGAUACAAUAAGCAGAAGCAGUCACUAUGUGCUAUCAUGCCUAAAUAUCCCUUCAAUGACGGUGUGAACAAUGCUAAAUGCUCUAUGGAUGUGACAUUCAUGCAUAUACCAUUACUGGAGUCAAGAGAAAGUACCAGCUUAU
Mirounga angustirostris (Northern elephant seal) is the source of this 509-nucleotide long non-coding RNA. RefSeq lists it as uncharacterized. The record is from RefSeq and is a predicted model, not a curated record. The transcript is spliced from 3 exons. Lineage: Eukaryota; Metazoa; Chordata; Mammalia; Carnivora; Phocidae.